RNAcentral lists this ribosomal RNA (404 nucleotides) under Actinomycetes bacterium. Its description in RNAcentral is "Actinobacteria bacterium partial 16S ribosomal RNA". It matches the Rfam family "Bacterial small subunit ribosomal RNA", at positions 355 to 776 of the family's 1533-position model. Lineage: Bacteria; Bacillati; Actinomycetota; Actinomycetes. The record is from RNAcentral.
UGGGGAAUAUUGGACAAUGGGCGCAAGCCUGUUCCAGCCAUGCCGCGUGAGUGAUGAAGGCCCUAGGGUUGUAAAGCUCUUUCACCGGUGAAGAUAAUGACGGUAACCGGAGAAGAAGCCCCGGCUAACUUCGUGCCAGCAGCCGCGGUAAUACGAAGGGGGCUAGCGUUGUUCGGAUUUACUGGGCGUAAAGCGCACGUAGGCGGACUAUUAAGUCAGGGGUGAAAUCCCGGGGCUCAACCCCGGAACUGCCUUUGAUACUGGUAGUCUUGAGUUCGAGAGAGGUGAGUGGAAUUCCGAGUGUAGAGGUGAAAUUCGUAGAUAUUCGGAGGAACACCAGUGGCGAAGGCGGCUCACUGGCUCGAUACUGACGCUGAGGUGCGAAAGCGUGGGGAGCAAACAGG